CUCACCUACCAGGACAUGUCAUCAUGACUUUGUAAAAAAGACAGUUCUAGUGGACUGGAAGAGACCAAAUAAGAGGACCAAGGGAAAUAUUUGUUGCAGAGGUCUGUGGAACAGAGUAAAAGAGUUAACAGGAAAUGAACAACUCAGGAUUUUCUUGGCACAUCCAGUGUUGAAGAGACCAGAGCGAGGCAUACUGGGGGGAAGCUGACUGCGGG
Molecule: long non-coding RNA, 215 nt
Filed under: Parus major (Great Tit)
Lineage: Eukaryota; Metazoa; Chordata; Aves; Passeriformes; Paridae
Description: lncRNA (ENSPMJG00000011446.1)
Source: RNAcentral